RNAcentral lists this ribosomal RNA (515 nucleotides) under uncultured bacterium. Its description in RNAcentral is "partial 16S ribosomal RNA". It matches the Rfam family "Bacterial small subunit ribosomal RNA", at positions 28 to 523 of the family's 1533-position model. The record is from RNAcentral.
GAUGAACGCUGACGGCGUGCCUAAUACAUGCAAGUCGAGCGAAUGGAUUAAGAGCUUGCUCUUAUGAAGUUAGCGGCGGACGGGUGAGUAACACGUGGGUAACCUGCCCAUAAGACUGGGAUAACUCCGGGAAACCGGGGCUAAUACCGGAUAACAUUUUGAACCGCAUGGUUCGAAAUUGAAAGGCGGCUUCGGCUGUCACUUAUGGAUGGACCCGCGUCUCAUUAGCUAGUUGGUGAGGUAACGGCUCACCAAGGCAACGAUGCGUAGCCGAACUGAGAGGGUGAUCGGCCACACGGGGACUGAGACACGGCCCAGACUCCUACGGGAGGCAGCAGUAGGGAAUCUUCCGCAAUGGACGAAAGUCUGACGGAGCAACGCCGCGUGAGUGAUGAAGGCUUUCGGGUCGUAAAACUCUGUUGUUAGGGAGGAACAAGUGCUAGUUGAAUAAGCUGGCACCUUGACGGUACCUAACCAGAAAGCCACGGCUAACUACGUGCCAGCAGCCGCCGCGG